AAUGAAGAAUAAAGAGUGGGCUAGUGACUUUCAGGGGAUAGAACAGAAGCGGUUAUUGAGCAUUUACUGCGUACCAAGUGCUGUCCUUGACAAGAAGACUUACACCCAGUGGUCCCAGAGGGAGACUUAGGAAGUGGGAGCACCUGUCAGAUCAUCAUCAAGGAACCAGAUUUACCUCCCACCUGAAACAAAUGAUGAACAAGCAAAAUCAUAAAAUAACUGUUUUUAGACAUUGAGCAUCAGGCAUUGAAGAACAGUGAUUCUUGAUAUUGGGAAGCAAGCCAACAAUUUCUGCUUCAGGGAGAGUUUUCCAAACCAAUUGUUAUUAAUGAGUCACACAUCGUGUCUGAUUUAUGAUUUAUUAAACUUUAUGCAUUAAAUACUUUCCAAACAAGACAA
This 399-nucleotide small RNA is filed under the name Pongo abelii (Sumatran orangutan). RNAcentral describes it as "processed transcript". Lineage: Eukaryota; Metazoa; Chordata; Mammalia; Primates; Hominidae. The record is from RNAcentral.